AUGGCACCAUGCGUGUCUGUGUGAAGAGACGACCAAACAGGCUUUGUGUUACCUAACCAAACUCCUGUAAAACCACACCACCUAUGCCUGUGAUGGGGACUAUCUGAAUCUACAGUGCCCUCGGCAUUCUACAAUAAGUGUCCAAUCGGCAUUUUAUGGACAAGAUUACCCAAUGUGUAGUUCCCAGAAGCCUGCCUGCCAGAGGGAAGACAGCUUAACUUGUGUGGCACCCACCACCUUCCAGAUGAAUUAAAAAACAAAACCGUGUGUGAAGACAAGGAGCUGAAACUGCACUGCCAUGAAUCCAAGUUCCUCAACAUCUACUCUGUGACCUAUGGCAGGAGGAUCCAGGAAAGGGACAUGUGCUCCUCCAAGGCAGAGCGGCUCCCCCCCUUUUCAGUUUGUGCUUUUGUAUGGGUAUUAGCCGGGGUUCUCUAGAGGGACUGAACUAAUAGGAUAUAUAAUGGGAUAUAUAUAUAUGAUUGUGGAAGUCAAUACUUAAUAACACAAUCACAAUCUUGUGAUCGUGAAUGUUAAUACUUAAUAAACUCCCAUAUGUGUGUGUGUGUGUGUGUGUGUGUGUGUGUGUGUGUAUAAAUGCUUGUAAACAGUAAUCUGCCAAAAAUAA
This 628-nucleotide long non-coding RNA is filed under the name Homo sapiens (human). RNAcentral describes it as "HSALNT0317893". The record is from RNAcentral. Lineage: Eukaryota; Metazoa; Chordata; Mammalia; Primates; Hominidae.